GACGGAGGAUGCAAGCGUUAUCCGGAAUGAUUGGGCGUAAAGCGUCCGCAGGUGGCAGUUCAAGUCUGCUGUCAAAGACCGGGGCUUAACUUCGGAAAGGCAGUGGAAACUGAACAGCUAGAGUAUGGUAGGGGCAGAGGGAAUUCCUGGUGUAGCGGUGAAAUGCGUAGAGAUCAGGAAGAACAUCGGUGGCGAAGGCGCUCUGCUGGACCAUAACUGACACUGAGAGACGAAAGCUAGGGGAGCAAAUGGG
This 253-nucleotide ribosomal RNA is filed under the name uncultured bacterium. Its description in RNAcentral is "partial 16S ribosomal RNA". It matches the Rfam family "Bacterial small subunit ribosomal RNA", at positions 524 to 776 of the family's 1533-position model. The record is from RNAcentral.